AGCAGCCGCGGUAAUUCCAGCUCCAAUAGCGUAUAUUAAAGUUGUUGCAGUUAAAAAGCUCGUAGUUGAAUUUCGGGAUCAAAGAAUCGGUCAUGCCUUGGUAUGUACUGGUUUUAUUGGUUCUCACCUUCUAAAGAACCAUGAUGUCAUUCAUUUGAUGUUAUGGGGAAUUAGGACUGUUACCUUGAAAAAUUAGAGUGUUUAAAGCAAGCUUACGCUUGAAUACAUUAGCAUGGAAUAAUGAAAUAGGACGUUUGAUUCUAUUUUGUUGGUUUCUAGGAUCGACGUAAUGAUUAAUAGGGAUAGUUGGGGGCACUAGUAUUCAAUCGUCAGAGGUGAAAUUCUUGGAUUUAUUGAAGACUAACUACUGCGAAAGCAUUUGCCAAGGAUGUUUUCAUUAAUCAAGAACGAAAGUUAGGGGAUCGAAGACGAUCAGAUACCGUCGUAGUCUUAACCAUAAACUAUGCCGACUAGGGAUCGGAUGAUGUUAAUUUUAAUGACUCAUUCGGCGCCUUAAC
RNAcentral lists this unclassified non-coding RNA (518 nucleotides) under uncultured Glomus. RNAcentral's name for it is "SSU rRNA". It matches the Rfam family "Eukaryotic small subunit ribosomal RNA", at positions 569 to 1092 of the family's 1831-position model. The record is from RNAcentral. Lineage: Eukaryota; Fungi; Glomeromycota; Glomeromycetes; Glomerales; Glomeraceae.